This 233-nucleotide long non-coding RNA is filed under the name Phoenix dactylifera (date palm). RNAcentral's name for it is "long non-coding RNA (PDAC_LNC012773)". The record is from RNAcentral. Lineage: Eukaryota; Viridiplantae; Streptophyta; Magnoliopsida; Arecales; Arecaceae.
AGCAUCCCGGAUCUCCUAGCUCUCAUCUCGUCCGUGAUCCACCUUCAUCCCAAUCCGGAUUUCUUCUCAGCCACAUCAAGUUAACAAUAGCAUCCUCAUCCUCUUCCUCCGAGAUCUUCUCACACACCCACAGCCGAAUGAUCCCAACUAGAUUCCGCUAGUUCCCAGCCUUCCUAUCAUCAUCCAAGCCUCAUCCUCUUCUCCGAAUAACAUCCAAGAUUUAUCCCAGCUCC